Centrocercus urophasianus (Greater sage-grouse) is the source of this 765-nucleotide long non-coding RNA. RefSeq lists it as uncharacterized. Lineage: Eukaryota; Metazoa; Chordata; Aves; Galliformes; Phasianidae. The transcript has 5 exons. The record is from RefSeq and is a predicted model, not a curated record.
GACUGCUGGCCAGAGUGGAAGAAAGGACAAUAUAUAUUUUGCACAGCUGGAGCAAAAUUCCUGUGUGGAUGCUGGAAUGGUCAAGAGAGACAGGCACUGAUGAAAUUGAUGUAAGCCACGAUGCAAGUAAUUUGCCAGCGCAGGAAAGCUUUCUAAGACCUCUUUGUUAUGUGAGAUGUUCCCCUGUGAUUAUUUCCUGUGGUUCUUGUCUUCAGCUACAUGUCUAUAAUGGCAGCAAAAAUCAUUCGGAAAUGUGAUUGUUGGAAGUCAGUACAGGAGCAUCAACACAGCUCAACAGUGAUACCUUGGUCCAUAAAUCAGUGACAACUGAAAACGUCAUCUCAGCCAGUCAUUCAUGGAUUAUUGUCAUAGGAUACGUCUGUGUGGUCUUCCUGGAACAAACAUGUGCAGAUAUUUAUCUAAAGAAGCAAAGGCUUAACAGCAGGCUUAUUUUCAAAUAUAGUAAAUGGUAUUCAACUCCAUUGAAGUCAAUGGAACCACGCACAGAUAAAACCAACAGAAGAAAAUUAAACCUUUCAAAGAAAACCUACUGCAUUUCUUUUGAGAAGCUGAAAUGGGGCUGCGAUGGGACAUUAUAUGGUUGUGCUGUCUACAAGCCUAUCUUCUCAGUGAACACACUGGAGAAGCAGUUUGUUACUCAGAAGGUUUAGGCACUCCACCUACAGCAAAAGUUCUGGACACUUCACAGAAAAGAAAUGGUACACACUACGACCCAAGGACCUGGCUGUAAAAUUAGAUUUCUAA